GCUCGCGUGGUCUAGUGGCUAUGACGCUAGCCUGUCGCGCUGGAAAUCCGGGUUCGACUCCCGGCGCGGGCG
RNAcentral lists this transfer RNA (72 nucleotides) under Candidatus Pacearchaeota archaeon CG10_big_fil_rev_8_21_14_0_10_32_42. Its description in RNAcentral is "tRNA-Asp". It matches the Rfam family "tRNA". From Rfam's summary of the family: Transfer RNA (tRNA) molecules are approximately 80 nucleotides in length. Their secondary structure includes four short double-helical elements and three loops (D, anti-codon, and T loops). The record is from RNAcentral. RNAcentral also lists the same sequence under 1 other name. Lineage: Archaea; Nanobdellati.